CUACGGGUGGCAGCAGUGGGGAAUAUUGCACAAUGGGGGAAACCCUGAUGCAGCAACGCCGCGUGGAGGAUGACGCAUUUCGGUGUGUAAACUCCUUUUAUAUAGGAAGAUAAUGACGGUACUAUAUGAAUAAGCACCGGCUAACUCCGUGCCAGCAGCCGCGGUAGUACGGAGGGUGCAAGCGUUACUCGGAAUCACUGGGCGUAAAGCGCGCGCAGGCGGCCUUUUAAGUUGGAUGUGAAAGCCUAUGGCUUAACCAUAGAACUGCAUCCAAAACUAUCAGGCUAGAGUCUGGGAGGGGAAGAUGGAAUUAGUUGUGUAGGGGUAAAAUCCGUAGAGAUAACUAGGAAUACCAAAAGCGAAGGCGAUCUUCUGGAACGGUACUGACGCUGAGGCGCGAAAGCGUGGGGAGCAAACAGGAUUAGAUACCCGUGUAGUC
RNAcentral lists this ribosomal RNA (439 nucleotides) under uncultured bacterium. RNAcentral describes it as "partial 16S ribosomal RNA". It matches the Rfam family "Bacterial small subunit ribosomal RNA", at positions 339 to 795 of the family's 1533-position model. The record is from RNAcentral.